UGGGCAACCUGCCCUCAGCUCUGGGAUAACCCCGGGAAACCGGGGCUAAUACCGGAUACGACCUCCACGGGCAUCUGUGGCGGUGGAAAGGUUUUCCGGCUGAGGAUGGGCCCGCGGCCUAUCAGCUUGUUGGUGGGGUGACGGCCCACCAAGGCGACGACGGGUAGCCGGCCUGAGAGGGCGAUCGGCCACACUGGGACUGAGACACGGUCCAGACUCCUACGGGAGGCA
This 231-nucleotide ribosomal RNA is filed under the name uncultured bacterium. RNAcentral's name for it is "partial 16S ribosomal RNA". It matches the Rfam family "Bacterial small subunit ribosomal RNA", at positions 118 to 350 of the family's 1533-position model. The record is from RNAcentral.